This is a long non-coding RNA of Lynx canadensis (Canada lynx), 1715 nucleotides long. RefSeq lists it as uncharacterized. Lineage: Eukaryota; Metazoa; Chordata; Mammalia; Carnivora; Felidae. The transcript has 2 exons. The record is from RefSeq and is a predicted model, not a curated record.
CAGACAUCCUGGCCUCCCGUUGGUCCGGCGCUGGCUGGCACCGCGCACUCGAACCGAGAGCCGUGAAGUGCGGUGGCUCCGGUACAAGUGAUGGAGGCGCCCCCAGGACAGCAGGCUCGUCGGGGCUGCCUUGGCUUCUUCUUGCCGCAUCCAGCCAGGCCCCGGGGACCCCCGAGGCCCUGGACGUGCACUUCCCGGGGCCGGAAGCGGCGACCGGGUUUGCAGGCGUCGGUGGGGGCCUCGGCUCGCAUGAUUUCCCGGCUUCUCAGAAUCUUUGUCGCCACUUGCCACUACACCCACUGAAAAUCUGAGGCACGAGAGAACAUUCCAGCAGGAAAUCCGGGGUCGACCUCAUCUGAGAUGUGAUAUGAGCACAGCUCGUGUUUGCGUGUUCCACGGUGCUCAAGCGUCUCCCCAGAAGGGUUCACCUAUCCUUUAACCACCCUGCAGGGCGCGCUUUGUCCUCCCCGUUUUAGAGACGAGGAAACCGAGGUGCUGACAGGUUUGAGGAACUUGUCCAUUGCACAAAGCCAGGCUUCGCAUCUCAGCGUCUCCGACCGGAACCCUCCCCACCCUCCGGCUGCUUCUGAAUGAGCAGCCACAGGACCCUGCGGUCUGGGGGGAAAGGUUUGGCCAAAUGCCACCAUGCAUUGGUCAGGGAACCGGCUGCACACUUGAUCCCGUGUCCCCGAGGCGCCAGCCGCCGAGCCUAACCUCAGAUGUCCAGUAGAAGACAGCCUGUCACCGGUACCCACCAGAGCCCCUUCCGUGUUUCCAGCCUCCCGUGCUGCACCUGGUUCCCCAGUGCCAAGCUGGCGUGGACCUGGAGGAAGGAGGAGGCAGACCGUGGACCCCAGCUGUGGUGACAGUGCCCUGGCUAUGAAAGGGCCACUUCGUAGCCACGGAGUGCAAAAAAUGGGCUUCCUCAGAUACACUUCUCCGAGGGAACUCCUAAGGAGAUAUUAAAAUUGUCCCAUUUAUAUUCAUUCAUAUCAGAUGAACAUUCGUUUCAGGCCCAACAUGAUAUCUUCGUGGAGCCAAACGAAUCUACUCCUUAAGCCACUUGCAGGAAGCAAGGCACAGCCAUAUUCAGAAAAUAAUGAGAAAGACCAUUAAGUCAAAGGAAGAAGGAAAACAAGUCAAUAAAUCAACUGUGUAUGGCACUACAGAAAAGAUUAAGAACGCCAAGGUGACAUAAGCAUUAAACAUUGUUAUUAAUCUGGGGAAACUUCAUUCCAGUCACAAUGUUCUUUCCUCUACCAGGCAGUGUGCACCUCUACGUGAAUUAGGAAAAGGCAUCCCUUCCUCAAGAUACGUUAUUGCUGUCGGCCGGAAAAAACCUAGGACGACCUCUAUGAGAAUGGUGUCCCUGAAGUUGCUCAGUGCGUGACGUGCGCCACUGUACAGGGUGGCCGGGAAUGCAAAGCACACUUGGAUAUCCUUCAUGGCAGAGGGUCAUACAGGCCACUGAUCAGGCUGAAGCUUCCCAAGCGCCAACUGCAGUUUCCUUUGUGAUCAGGAGCUGAGAUAAAAGACAGGUGUCACAGCUGUCUGAGCAGCCCCUAUAUCUGUAGGGCUCAAAGAAGUAGGGUCUCCUUUGGUGACCUCAGGGGCACUCACAAUACAUAAUCACAGAGGGGCUGUGCAUCCUGGCUUGUAUGCAGCUGCUGCUUGCCAUCAUAUGGCACUUAAUAUUGUAGGUACUGUGAAAAAAA